This 1513-nucleotide long non-coding RNA is filed under the name Rattus norvegicus (Norway rat). RNAcentral's name for it is "long non-coding RNA NONRATT032721". The record is from RNAcentral. Lineage: Eukaryota; Metazoa; Chordata; Mammalia; Rodentia; Muridae.
AUGAAUAAUUUAAACAGUAAGAGAUUAUCUAUCCGCAUAGCUCCUUAUGCGCUUUGGGAUCGGACUAGAAGGGGAUCAUUGUUUGGGAGUGAUAUGUCAAUAAAGAUAUCUCUUAUGCAAAUCAUGAUUGACAACUAUAUUCCAAUAUUUGAAAAUGAUAAUAAAUAUUGCUCUGAUGGACUAAAGACAUCUGCUGAUUUCAUAAAUUCUUCAGGAAAAUCACCUAUUAUGAAAGAAGUCAUAGGUGACCACAAUGGGAAAACCUGUGAUGAUGAAGAAUUUGAUAUUUCAUAUACUAUCCUGUAGGAGGAAAGUCCUAUAGCAGGACAGAACAAAACAACCACCACAUAUAAGUGGUAGAGUAUGACUGAAGACGUUCUAAGGUCAUUCUAUUCUUAUGUUCCUGUCUACCUCCCACUAAAUCAUAGCAGAAGAUAUUAUUACAAGAUCCUACUUCUGCUUUAUAUUUCACCAUAUUAGUUACAAAUAGUUUCCCUAAUUAUUCUUAUUUUAUGCUGUAGUUUAUAUAUUUGCUAUUAUAAUAAAUUUUAUUAAAUUGUGUUAUUGCUUACACUACAGUGUGCCUUGUUCAUGAUUCUCCAUAGUCUUUGGAAAAUGGCAUUUUUCAGUCUCUGCCUCUACAGCCCACUUCUAGUACUAGUUUUCCCACCUCAGUUACCAAAGUAUGGCCAGAAACUAAUGACAUUAAAAAUCUCUCAGAGUUAUGCCUCGAAUCCAGUGCCAUAAAAAACUAAAUAAAAUUCCAUUAACAAAAUUAAUCAUCACACUUGUUGAAAUUAGAGGUGGAUUAUGGUUUUUAGAAUACACAAAAUGACCUGAAAACAUAAGUGCCUUAGCAAUUGAAAUGUGAAAUUAAUUUGGGUUAUAAAAACAUACAUUAAGAAACAAGCAAAACUGGGUAUUGUAGCACCAGCAUCUCUAGACCAGAAGCUUCUACCUGGAUGGAGAGUAGAGUUGGAGACAUUAAGAAGUUAAGAGAAGGCAUUUGGCCAGAAUUUCCUGACAUGUUGUUCAGUAAUGAUUAAAAAGAGAUCUUGUGACAGAAAGAGAGAGAGAGAGAGAGAGAGAGAGAGAGAGAGAGAGAGAGAGAGAGAGAGAGAGGAGAAGAGAGAAGAGAAGAGAAGAGAAGAGAACAGAAGAGAACAGAAGAGAAGAGAAGAGAAGAGAAGAGAAGAGAAGAGAAGAGAAGAGAAGAAGAGAAGAGAGAGUAAAACGCUGGAGGCUCUUAAAUUUCAAUAAGCUGAAAGCUGCAUUACAUACACUCAGAAGUGCACAGAAGCAUACAGCAUAUUUGUUGUAUCUCUCUUCAUAACCAGAGACCUCAACAUGAAAUAUUCUUUAUUCAUGGUUUGUCUAUCUCAAAAGGGUCUUAAAUACAUUGGAGAUAUGGAAAUCUUAGAGAAAACCUCCAGUAAAAUAAUUCAUAAUUUCCAUAAUUACUGCUUCUUGGUCCCUCCUGAUAGGAGUAUUAUUUUAAGUUCAAAAUGUUUUC